This 264-nucleotide ribosomal RNA is filed under the name uncultured bacterium. RNAcentral's name for it is "partial 16S ribosomal RNA". It matches the Rfam family "Bacterial small subunit ribosomal RNA", at positions 793 to 1055 of the family's 1533-position model. The record is from RNAcentral.
GUCCACGCCCUAAACGAUGGCAACUAGUUGUUUGGGAUUAACAUCCUUAGUAACGCAGCUAACGCGUGAAGUUGCCCGCCUGGGGAGUACGGUCGCAAGAUUAAAACUCAAAGGAAUUGACGGGGGCCCGCACAAGCGGUGGAUGAUGUGGUUUAAUUCGAUGCAACGCGCAAAACCUUACCUACCCUUGACAUGCCAGGAACCUCGCAGAGAUGUGAGGGUGCCCGAAAGGGAACCUGGACACAGGUGCUGCAUGGCUGUCGU